UGAGGAAUAUUGGUCAAUGGACGCAAGUCUGAACCAGCCAAGUAGCGUGCAGGAUGACGGCCCUAUGGGUUGUAAACUGCUUUUAUAUGGGGAUAAAGUGGGGAACGUGUUUCCUUUUGCAGGUACCAUAUGAAUAAGGACCGGCUAAUUCCGUGCCAGCAGCCGCGGUAAUACGGAAGGUUCGGGCGUUAUCCGGAUUUAUUGGGUUUAAAGGGAGCGUAGGCCGUUUGGUAAGCGUGUUGUGAAAUGUAGGAGCUCAACUUCUAGAUUGCAGCGCGAACUGUCAGACUUGAGUGCGCACAACGUAGGCGGAAUUCAUGGUGUAGCGGUGAAAUGCUUAGAUAUCACACAGAACUCCGAUUGCGAAGGCAGCUUACCAGGCUUUAUCUGACACUUAGGCACGACAGCGUGGGGAUCAAACAGG
This 424-nucleotide ribosomal RNA is filed under the name Verrucomicrobiota bacterium. RNAcentral's name for it is "Verrucomicrobia bacterium partial 16S ribosomal RNA". It matches the Rfam family "Bacterial small subunit ribosomal RNA", at positions 355 to 776 of the family's 1533-position model. The record is from RNAcentral. Lineage: Bacteria; Pseudomonadati; Verrucomicrobiota.